RNAcentral lists this unclassified non-coding RNA (376 nucleotides) under soil metagenome. Its description in RNAcentral is "partial contains 5.8S ribosomal RNA, internal transcribed spacer 2, and large subunit ribosomal RNA". The stretch from base 1 to 120 matches the Rfam family "5.8S ribosomal RNA", at positions 35 to 154 of the family's 154-position model. The record is from RNAcentral.
GAUGAAGAACGUAGCGAAAUGCGAUAAGUAAUGUGAAUUGCAGAAUUCAGUGAAUCAUCGAAUCUUUGAACGCAUCUUGCGCUCCUUGGUAUUCUGAGGAGCAUGCCUGUUUGAGUGUCAUUAAAUUCUCAACUACACUGACUUUGAAUUGGUGUGGCUUGGAUUUGGGGGGAAAAUUGUUGUGGGCUUUUUGUAUAGUCUGCUCCCCUGAAAUUAAUUAGCGGUACCUUUGUGGAGCUGUCUACAGGUGUGAUAAUUAUCUACAUCUUAGACAUCUGCUGGAAUGCUGCUUUCUAAACCUUACUUGUAUUGACAAUCUUGACCUCAAAUCAGGUAGGACUACCCGCUGAACUUAAGCAUAUCAAUAAGCGGAGGA